RNAcentral lists this non-coding RNA (368 nucleotides) under Gorilla gorilla gorilla (western lowland gorilla). The record is from Rfam by way of RNAcentral. Lineage: Eukaryota; Metazoa; Chordata; Mammalia; Primates; Hominidae.
GCUGGGUGCGGUGGCUCACACCUGUAAUCCCAGCACUUUGGGAGGCCGAGGCGGGCGGAUCAUGAGGUCAACAGAUCGAGACCAUCCUGGCCAACAUGGUGAAACCCUGUCUCUAUUAAAAAUACAAAAAAAUUAGCUAGGCAUGGUGGUGCGCGCCUGUAGUCCCAGCUACUCAGUAGGCUGAGGCAGGAGAAUCACUUGAACCCAGGAGGAGGNNNNNNNNNNUGCCUCAGCCUACUGAGUAGCUGGGACUACAGGCGCGCACCACCAUGCCUAGCUAAUUUUUUUGUAUUUUUAAUAGAGACAGGGUUUCACCAUGUUGGCCAGGAUGGUCUCGAUCUGUUGACCUCAUGAUCCGCCCGCCUCGG